GAUGAACGCUAGCUACAGGCUUAACACAUGCAAGUCGAGGGGCAGCAUGGUCUUAGCUUGCUAAGGCCGAUGGCGACCGGCGCACGGGUGAGUAACACGUAUCCAACCUGCCGUCUACUCUUGGACAGCCUUCUGAAAGGAAGAUUAAUACAAGAUGGCAUCAUGAGUCCGCAUGUUCACAUGAUUAAAGGUAUUCCGGUAGACGAUGGGGAUGCGUUCCAUUAGAUAGUAGGCGGGGUAACGGCCCACCUAGUCUUCGAUGGAUAGGGGUUCUGAGAGGAAGGUCCCCCACAUUGGAACUGAGACACGGUCCAAACUCCUACGGGAGGCAGCAGUGAGGAAUAUUGGGUCAAAUGGACGAGAGUCUGAACCAGCCAAGUAGCGUGAAGGAUGACUGCCCUAUGGGUUGUAAACUGCUUUUAAAAGGUAUAAAGUCGGGUAUGUAUACCCGUUUGCAUGUACUUUAUGAAUAAGGAU
RNAcentral lists this ribosomal RNA (477 nucleotides) under uncultured bacterium. RNAcentral describes it as "bacterial SSU rRNA". It matches the Rfam family "Bacterial small subunit ribosomal RNA", at positions 28 to 493 of the family's 1533-position model. The record is from RNAcentral.